ACGAACGCUGGCGGCGCGCUGUACACAUGCAAGUCGAGCGAGAACCAGGGCUUCGGCCCUGGGGACAGCGGCGAACGGGUGAGUAACACGUGGGUAAUCAACCCUCGACACUGGGAUAGCCCGGGGAAACCCGGAUUAAUACCGGAUGUCCCGCCUGGCUUUCGGGCCGGUCGGAAAAGGUAGCUUCGGCCUCCGGUCGGGGACGAGCCCGCGGCGGAUUAGCUUGUUGGUGGGGUAACGGCCCACCAAGGCAACGAUCCGUAGCNGGUCUGAGAGGACGAUCAGCCACACUGGGACUGAGACACGGCCCAGACUCCUACGGGAGGCAGCAGUGGGGAAUCUUGGGCAAUGGGCGAAAGCCUGACCCAGCGACGCCGCGUGAGGGAAGAAGGCCUU
This 396-nucleotide ribosomal RNA is filed under the name uncultured bacterium. Its description in RNAcentral is "bacterial SSU rRNA". It matches the Rfam family "Bacterial small subunit ribosomal RNA", at positions 29 to 418 of the family's 1533-position model. The record is from RNAcentral.